GUAGAGCAAGGCGUCCGACCGCCGCUUGAUCACGGAACUUGCAGGUCAGACGCCUGAUGACACUCAAGCGCCCACCUCUCUUCUAAGCGCUUGGCCGCAGGUUCGAGUCCUGCCGGGG
RNAcentral lists this transfer RNA (118 nucleotides) under Streptomyces olivoverticillatus. Its description in RNAcentral is "tRNA-OTHER". The record is from RNAcentral. Lineage: Bacteria; Bacillati; Actinomycetota; Actinomycetes; Kitasatosporales; Streptomycetaceae.